UCUUUCUGUAGAGGAAGAAAACUAUGUUCGAAUGAGUUUGUUAUUAACAGGAAUUUCUCCUCGUGCAGCCAGAACUUUCUUUGAUAGUGAAUUUGCUCCAGCAUGUUUAGAUUCUACAAUAAAGAAGGGGUAUAACAAAUUGUUUGACUUAAAAAAUAAGAAUAGAAUCAACCAAUCACAGUGGAACCUUCUGUAUCCCAGAUUUCCUGGUAAGUAAAGGAUUUUUUAUUUCAUUCUUCAAUGUAUCCUUUUCCUAGAUACCCAGAAAGUAUACACACAACUGCCUGCUUUAUCAUGUUCAUAUAUAUAUUGUUUAUAGCCAAACUUUCUGUUCCGAAAUAUUGAAAUAUGCAGUCAUUAAGUCCGUCUGGCAUGUGUCAAUUCCGUCCAUCCGCCCAUACAUCCCUUAAUUGGUUUCAGUUCUCUAAUUUUACUUUACCUGAAUAAAAUGCUAUGAAACAUAUACACAAUGCUUAUUACCACAAAAUUAAUUAUAAAACUACAAAACCCACAGCAUGUUUGAAUUUUGGUGGCAUCACGUUUACUGUUCUAGAGUUAUCAUAGUUAUGCCUCUUUAUGAAUGGAUUAUUUUGUUUCUGCUCUAUUAACUUAAUUUGCCUCAACCAAAUGCUUAUUACCACCAAACCACAUGAAAUUCAAAUUUGGAUAACGUCACAUUUAUUGUUCUGGAGUUAUGUCCCCUAUUUAUAAAGUAUAUAUAUUGUAUGCUUCUAAAAAUAGAUUAGCAUCCUGCAAUUAUACUGAAGAGAUGAAUAGAUGAUCAUUUCUGUACACUAAGAAUAAAUACUUCGUGUAUUGUUUCAGAGAUCCUUGUUUAAUUCCUACAAGAAGGUAACACCUCCCGAAACGAAAGCUUAUUUUUAUAAGCUAGAGUUAGAGGAGGGGAUAAGGUAUCUGCGCAAUGCUAGACGGUGUUGUCGUAAAAGUACAGGUUCCAGCCCCGGCGCCGGGGAGGAAGUUACGAAUCAAAUCUACGCUAACAUCGUUAGGUUGAUUUUUUAGGCACUUUAUAUAAAUAUAUACAUACAUAUAAAACGUCUGAAUAAUAGUCAACGAUUUUUCCCACGAGGGCGCUGGAUCGUUACAAGUAACAAUUUAAAUUGCUUAAUUUUUUGAGGGAUGUAUAAGUACCUGCAAGCCACGUUCAACUAGUUUACCUUAGCCAAAAUUUAUUAUAUUUUAACGGCCGUUUGUGUUUAACAUCGCAGACUCUGAUGUAACUACUCUACCGUUGUCAAAUCUGAAAUAUUUACAAAUUUAGACCGUUCAGUGCUGUUUAAUAUUUGGAAUUCUUAUUGACGCAAUCAUUCUUGAAACAUCAUAAUUUUCGAUACCGUUAAAGCUUUACAAUUGUGCUAGUUCAUAUCGCACAUUAAUAUUUUUUUUUUAUUUAAAGCAUGUUGUAAUUAGUCAUAUGGUCCGAGACCACAAUUAUUUCAUAGUGCAUUUCUUUUAGAUAAUAAAUGAAAAUUAAAAAAAUCCCACCUGCGCUUUCUCAAUGAAAUUUUUACAGUGUGUUGUACUACUUUUGGGACAAAUUAUAUCAAAAUUAUAGAAAACUUCAUCGGCUCUAACUCAAAAUAUGGACAAUUUUUGUUUAGGGCGUCUUGAAAUCUUUUGACAGCUUCCGAAGUGCUAAUUUUCAACCUUUUUCAGCUGGACCAGAUCACUACUUUCCUUUAAAAUUCUGAACCCAUUUUUUUUUACAGUGUAAUUUCACCCCUGUCUUGCAAUUUGAGGCAUUAAACAUGGAGAAAUAAAUUUGGAAGGGGUAUAUGAAAAUUAAUGGCAAGUAACCCACUGUCAACACUAGGGACUAUAUUUGUGAACAACGAGGGGAACAACGAGGGAAGACAAUUGCGAGGGGAACAACGAGGGAAGACAAUUGUGGUCUCGGACCAUAUAAACUAUUUCGUGUUUAACACAUGUUUAGAAUUGUGCAAGCGUCUUACCUGAUGUUCGGUUUGACUUUUUUAUUGUAUAAAUUUCAAGAUUUUUACAGCUUAAUCUAAGUAGAUCGACUGAUAAAUGAUUCAUUCAACAUCACAAUCAUAUAUACCGAUGAAGGGUUUCUGUUAUCCGAAAUAUUUAUAAAUAAUUACAUUCAUAGUUCCUUUUUAUGUUAAUGGUGUUGUUGUGUACACUUUUUAGGCGUUUAUAUAUAUAUAUUUGUUUUACAAGCACAUGUAUAAAAAUUGCGGUUUUUAUCCAACGCAAUCUUAUGUUUGAACGUUGUUUUCAAUUUAUACUUUUUUAUAUUUUUACGUUAGGGCUUGUAUUCUAUUUUCCCUCUGGUUUAUUUCAUCAUUUUUGUAAUCUGUUCAUCCUAAUGACUCUUUAAAAUUCAAGAGUCUAUCCUAAAUUGAGAUAAAUUGUACGGCGUUCCAAAUACUGUUUUAAUCCAUAACACCAGUAAAAAAGCAUUAAUUUGUUGAUAUCAGGAUAUGGUGUACCAAUUUUUGCACCUCAUGUUUGUGGUAUAACAUAUUUGCUCCAAGUUUACUGUUUUCUGUUUGGUAUUAAAUUGAUAUUAAGAUCCAUUUUCUUACAUCUUGUGCUCAAUUAAUUUGACAAUCGUCAAUGGCAGUCAGUAGGAUUUAAGAACAUCAAUUGUUCGACCUGCUAGUCACAGCCUUUGUGUUAAUUACUCUACUGUUGUCAAAUUUGAAAUAUUAUACCAGCUUAGAACUGUAAAUGCUGUGUAUUGGGAAUGUAUUUCCAUGCAGUUGUUGUAACAUCUUAACUGUUGUAACCUGUGGCUAUUAUUCGGUCAUUUAAUAUAUAUAUAAUAAUAAGCAAGUCUUAAUUGAAAAGAACGUUCAAACAUAUGAAUGCAUUGGAUAAAAAACUGCAAUUUUUAUACGUGUGCAUGCAAACCAAAUUUCGUGGUAGAGAGGUCUAAAUACAGCACAGACAACAUUUUUCAAAAGACCAAAUAUAAAUAAGGAAAAAAGAACAUUUUAACAAAACUCAUUUGACUAGCAGGUCGAACAAUUGAUUUUCUUAAACCCUGCCGAUUGUCAUUGGUGAUUGCCAAAUAAAACUAGCACCAGAUGUAACACAAUGGAUCUUAUUAUUAAUUUAAUAUCAGAAAACAAUUAAUUUGUGGAAAAGAUGGUAUACCACAAACAUGAGGUGUAUUUAUUUUGUACACCAUACCCGGAUUUUGACAAUUAAUGUCUCUUCAGCAUGUUCAGUGAUGUUAGGAAUCAAAACAGUAUUUGGAUGGCCAUAGUUUAUCUCAAUUAAGGAUAUCUCAAUUAACAUGAUUAAGGAUAGACUUAAAUUUUGUAAAGUGGAAAAAGGAUAAACAGGAAGGCAAAUACAAUACAAGCCCAAAUGAAAAAGUAUAAACAAGUCUAAAUUGAAAACAAUAGUCAAAUAAAUAGUGGUUAUAUAUUGUACUUUUAGUCAAGACAGUUAAAUUUAUGAUCCUUUGAAUCGCUUAUUUACAACUACAAUCAAUGAACUUACUAUACAAUUUUUGACAAGAAUAUUCCCAAGAAUUGAUUUUGCUAAAAAUAUAUUAUUGAACAGACUUGCUAUUUGCUUUUACUUUUAUAAUCUUUAUUAUCUUAUAUCAUGUAUACAUUUACUAGAUGUUCCAGAUUCUAAAACUUUUGAUUUGACUUUGAUGAUACUAUUACUGAGGAAUUUGAUUCCAAUAACCCCUCCUCUUUGUGGAUUUGACUGUCUACCUUCUGCAAUGGAAACCACACCAGCUGCAGACUUAGCAAGGAUCAAACACUACAGAAAUUACCUGGCUCAUCUGGAUGAUGGCAAACUAGACACAGGGUUCUUCACUACAGCUUGGAAAGAUAUAACUAAUGUAUGUAUAUAUAUAUAUUCUGUAUUUAUACUUAAGAGAUUAGUAGUUGUUAUUUCUGUACCUUAUUUUGUGUAUAGAAGGUUUGUAAGGUGUACAUGCCCAACUGGCAAGUUUCUUCUGACCUUGUCCUUAUUUUCAUGUUAAGUGGUUAUAGUUGAGUUUUUCUGUUUUAACUUGUUUUUCUAGUGCUAUAUAUGCAAUAGUUCUACUUUUUUAGCUCACCUGUCCCGAAGGGACAAGUGAGCUUAUGCCAUCACUUGGCGUCCGUCGUCGUCCGUCGUCUGUCGUCUGUCGUCGUCUGUCGUCGUCGUAAACUAUUUCAAGAAUCUUCUCCUCUGAAACUACUGGGCCAAAUACUUUCAAACUUUAAACUGAAUGUUCCUUAGGGUAUCUAAUUUUAUAAAUUGUUCCGAAGUUUUUGAUCUAUCAACAAACAUGGUCGCCAUUGCUAAAAAUAGAACAUAGGGGUCAAAUGCAGUUUUUGGCUUAUAACUCAAAAACCAAAGCAUUUAGAGCAAAUCUGACGAGGGUAAUAUUGUUUAUCAGGUCAAGAUCUAUCUGCCCUGAAAUUUUCAGAUGAAUCAGACAACCCGUUGUUGGGUUGCUGCCCCUGAAUUGGUAAUUUUAAGGAAAUUUUGGCUGUUUUUUGGUUAUUAUCUUGAAUAUUAUUAUAGAUAGAGAUAAACUGUAAACAGCAAUAAUGUUCAGCAAAGUAAGAUUUACAAAUAAGUCAACAUGACGGAAAUGGUCAGUUGACCCCUUUAGGAGUUAUUGCCCUUUAUAGUCAAUUUUUAAUCAUUUUUCGUAAAUCUUAGUAAUCUUUUACAAAAAUCUUCUUCCUCUGAAAACUACUGGGCCAAAUACUUCCAAACUUUAACUGAAUGUUCCUUAGGGUAUCUAGUUUGUAAAUUGUAUCCGAAGUUGUGAUCUAUCAACAAAACAUGGUCCGCCAUUGCUAAAAAUAGAACAUAGGGGUCAAAAUGCAGUUUUUGGCUUAUAACUCAAAAACCAAAAGCAUUUAGAGCAAAUCUGACAUGGAUAAUAUUGUUUAUCAGGUCAAGAUCUAUCUGCCCUGAAAAUUUUCAGAUGAAUCAGACAACCUGUUGUUGGGUUACUGCCCCUGAAUUGGUAAUUUUAAAGAAAUUUUGCUUUUUUUGGUUAUUAUCUUGAAUAUUAUUAUAGAUAGAUAUAAACUGUAAACAGCAAUAAUGUUCAGCAAAGUAAGAUUUACUAAUAAGUCAACAUGACGGAAAAUGGUCAGUUGACCCCUUUAGGAGUUUAUUGCCCUUUAUAGUCAAUUUUUAACCAUUUUUCGUAAAUCUUAGUAAUCUUUUACAAAAAUCUUCUCCUCUGAAACUACUGGGCCAAAUACUUCCAAACUUUAACUGAAUGUUCCUUAGGGUAUCUAGUUUGUAAAUUGUAUCCGAAGUUAUGAUCUAUCAACAAACAUGGUCGCCAUUGCUAAAAAUAGAACAUAGGGGUCAAAUUGCAGUUUUGGCUUAUAACUCAAAAACCAAAGCAUUUAGAGCAAAUCUGCCGUUGGGUAAUAUUGUUUAUCAGGUCAAGAUCUAUCUGCCCUGAAAUUUUCAGAUGAAUCAGACAACGUGUUGUUGGGUUGCUGCCCCUGAAUUGAUAAUUUUAAGGAAAUUUUGCUGUUUUUGUUUAUUAUCUUGAAUAUAAUUAUAGAUAGAAAUAAACUGUAAACAGCAAUAAUGUUCAGCAAAGUAAGAUCUUCAAUUAAGUCAAUUUGACCAAAAUUGUCAAUUGACCCCUUAAGGAGUUAUUGCCCUUUAAAGACUUUUUUCACAAUUUGUUCAUCAUGUUGACUUACUUAAAAAAUCUUCUCCUUUGAAACUGCUGUAUCAAUUUCAGCCAAACUUAGGCUAAAUGAGUUUCAGAGUAUCUAGUAUAAAUUUUAUAUUUUAUUUCCUUGUAUGUCAAGAAACAUAGCUCCUAUGGCUAAAAUAGAACAUAGGAGAAAAUGAUUAUUUUUUUGGCUUUUGAAGAAAAUAGGACGAUCCAAAAAACAUUUAAAUAAAUUGAAAAGCCAAAAUAAUCAUUGAUGAGAGAUUUAACCAAAAGAAUUAAGGUGAGCGAUUCAGGCUCUUGAGAGCCUCUUGUUGUGUAUGGAAUGAUUGUAUGAUGUACAUGUCCAACUAGCAUGUGUCAUCAGACCUUGACCUCACAGUUAUACAGACUUUUUUCUGAAUGCCUUCAGAUAUUGGGUUGAUUUUUUGUAUGUGAGUUAACAAUGAUGAGUUACAGAUCAAGUUCAAGUUUCGUUUUGCUCUGCUCAUGUUUGCUGAAGUUAAGGUUUUUAGACUUCAAUAAAUUGAUGAAAAUCACAGUUAUAUGGACUUUUUUUAAAACCCUUUCAGAUAUUGGACUGAUUUGUGGUAUGUGAGUUAAACAUGAUUAGUUACAGAUCAAGUUUUAGUUUUGUUUUGCUCUGCUCUGCUAAUUUUUGGUGAAAUUACUGGUUUUGACUUUGUUAAAUUGUUGAAAAUAACAGUUAUAUGGAUUUUUUUCCAAAACGCCUUCAGAUAUAUAUUGGGCUGAUUUUUGGUAUGCAAGUUAACCAUGAUGAGUUACAGAUCAAGUUUAAAUUUCGUUCCCUCCACUGAUUUUUAUCAACAUUAAGAGUUUAAGACUUUGAAACUUGUUGAAAGUCACAAGUACAGUUAUACAGACUUUUUUCUAUACACCUUCAGAUUUUGAGCUCAUUUUUGAUAUGUAAGACUACCAUCAUGUUUGUGUCCACAUGUGUUGUUGAAAUUGCAGAUUUUUCGACUUGUUUGAGACAGGGUCAUUCCUGUCGUUCCGACACAUCUGGUCUUGUAUUAAAAUUACAAUCACUUUGAAUUGUGCCAAGUAUUUCAAUGAAUGGUGUAUAAGUAUGAUUAUCAAUCCAUAGUUUUUAACCAAGGUGAUUGCAGUCUAUCAGAUUUGUUUGAACUGUUAGCUAGAUAAUUGCCAUGAUCAUUGGUUAUUAUUAAGACUAAGUAUAACAAGACUAUUUUUUGAACCUGCAAUAUUUUUUCAAGUUACCAAGAAUGAUAAAAGGAGAAUAACUCUUAAAUAACUCAAAAUUCACAUUCCAUAAUUUACAGGCCAUAGAUAGAUUAGGUGGGCAGCAAAUGAAGCAGGAGUGUGAUCAUCUGAACACCAAACCAUUAGAUCAAACCAACCACGAAAUAAUGAUGGACAUCAAACAUUCCAAUAAUGAAAUCCGGGAACUGAAAGAAUCACUUGAAAGUCUGAAGCUGUCACAUAUUGAAAUGAUAAAAUCUCAUGAAUUACUACAAGAAAACCAUGCCGAAGUAACGAAAUCCCAUAUAUUGUUACAGGAAGACCAUACAAAAGUAAAGAAAUCCCAUGAAUUACUACAAGAACACUAUG
RNAcentral lists this long non-coding RNA (7249 nucleotides) under Mytilus galloprovincialis (Mediterranean mussel). Lineage: Eukaryota; Metazoa; Mollusca; Bivalvia; Mytilida; Mytilidae. The record is from RNAcentral.